UUGCUUUAUAAUUUUCUAUAACAAUAAUAAUUGUAAUGAUAAUGGAGCAUCAUGGUUGGUGAUAGUGUACAAAAUCAAAAUAAUUAGAAGAGACAAAAAGAUUGAGGUUGAAGGAGAGGGUGGUGGGAGCCGCGACGCGCCGCUCCCGAAUAUCAUUCCAAAGAAGUCACCAUCACCGUUGUUGCGGUUGGUGCCGCCACUGCCGGACCCACCGCCGCUGAAUCCGGGAUAGGAGUUGCCCUCCCC
This 246-nucleotide long non-coding RNA is filed under the name Citrus maxima (pomelo). RNAcentral describes it as "long non-coding RNA (CMAX_LNC003017)". The record is from RNAcentral. Lineage: Eukaryota; Viridiplantae; Streptophyta; Magnoliopsida; Sapindales; Rutaceae.